AGGUAGUGCCUCAAGUAUUACCGUCGGGGGUAGAGCACUGGAUGGGCUAGGGGGGCGCGAGCCUUACCAAACCUAACCAAACUCCGAAUACCGAUGAGUAGAGCACGGCAGACAGACCAUGGGUGCUAAGGUCCAUGGUCGAAAGGGAAACAGCCCAGACCUCCAGCUAAGGUCCCUAAAUUGUGGCUAAGUGGGAAAGGAUGUGGGAAGGCCAAGACAGCCAGGAGGU
Molecule: ribosomal RNA, 229 nt
Filed under: Oxyrrhis marina
Lineage: Eukaryota; Dinophyceae; Oxyrrhinales; Oxyrrhinaceae
Description: partial Bacterial large subunit ribosomal RNA
Rfam family: Bacterial large subunit ribosomal RNA
Source: RNAcentral